GGCCACGUGGCGAAGCUGGUUAACGCGACAGUCUGCAAAACUGUUAUGCGUGGGUUCGAACCCCACCGUGGCCUCCA
This 77-nucleotide transfer RNA is filed under the name bacterium. RNAcentral describes it as "tRNA-Cys". It matches the Rfam family "tRNA". From Rfam's summary of the family: Transfer RNA (tRNA) molecules are approximately 80 nucleotides in length. The record is from RNAcentral.